GUGCCAGCAGCCGCGGUAAGACGAACCGUGCGAACGUUGUUCGGAAUCACUGGGCUUAAAGGGCGCGUAGGCGGACCGGCGAGUCAGGGGUGAAAGCCCGCGGCCCAACCGCGGAAGUGCCCCUGAUACCGCCGGCCUUGAGGGGGAUAGGGGCGUGCGGAACUUCGGGUGGAGCGGUGAAAUGCGUAGAUAUCCGAAGGAACACCGGUGGCGAAGGCGGCACGCUGGGUCCCUACUGACGCUGAGGCGCGAAAGCCAGGGGAGCGAACGGGAUUAGAUACCCCCGUAGUCC
This 292-nucleotide ribosomal RNA is filed under the name uncultured bacterium. RNAcentral's name for it is "partial 16S ribosomal RNA". It matches the Rfam family "Bacterial small subunit ribosomal RNA", at positions 505 to 796 of the family's 1533-position model. The record is from RNAcentral.